This 253-nucleotide ribosomal RNA is filed under the name uncultured bacterium. RNAcentral's name for it is "partial 16S ribosomal RNA". It matches the Rfam family "Bacterial small subunit ribosomal RNA", at positions 524 to 776 of the family's 1533-position model. The record is from RNAcentral.
GACGUAGGGCGCAAGCGUUGUCCGGAUUUAUUGGGCGUAAAGAGCUCGUAGGCGGCUCGUUGCGUCGGCUGUGAAAACCCGCAGCUCAACUGUGGGCUUGCAGCUGAUACGGGCGGGCUGGAGUUCGGUAGGGGAGACUGGAAUUCCUGGUGUAGCGGUGAAAUGCGCAGAUAUCAGGAGGAACACCGGUGGCGAAGGCGGGUCUCUGGGCCGAUACUGACGCUGAGGAGCGAAAGCGUGGGGAGCGAACAGG